ACCAGACUCCUACGGGAGGCAGCAGUGGGGAAUAUUGCACAAUGGGGGAAACCCUGAUGCAGCAACGCCGCGUGAGUGAAGAAGUAUUUCGGUAUGUAAAGCCCUAUCAGCAGGGAAGAAAAUGACGGUACCUGAGUAAGAAGCCCCGGCUAACUACGUGCCAGCAGCCGCGGUAAUACGUAGGGGGCAAGCGUUAUCCGGAUUUACUGGGUGUAAAGGGAGCGUAGACGGCGAUACAAGUCAGAAGUGAAAGCCCGGGGCUCAACGCCGGGACUGCUUUUGAAACUGUGUGACUGGAGUGCAGGAGAGGUAAGCGGAAUUCCUGGUGUAGCGGUGAAAUGCGUAGAUAUCAGGAGGAACACCAGUGGCGAAGGCGGCUUACUGGACUGUAACUGACGUUGAGGCUCGAAAGCGUGGGGAGCAAACAGGAUUAGAUACCCUAGUAAU
This 447-nucleotide ribosomal RNA is filed under the name uncultured bacterium. RNAcentral's name for it is "bacterial SSU rRNA". It matches the Rfam family "Bacterial small subunit ribosomal RNA", at positions 330 to 794 of the family's 1533-position model. The record is from RNAcentral.